Molecule: ribosomal RNA, 494 nt
Filed under: uncultured Chloroflexota bacterium
Lineage: Bacteria; Bacillati; Chloroflexota
Description: bacterial SSU rRNA
Rfam family: Bacterial small subunit ribosomal RNA
Source: RNAcentral
UAGGGAAUAUUGCUCAAUGGGCGAAAGCCUGAAGCAGCAACGCCGCGUGCGUGAUGAAGGUCUUCGGAUCGUAAAGCGCUUUUCUGGGAGAUGAGAAAGGACAGUAUCCCAGGAAUAAGUCUCGGCUAACUACGUGCCAGCAGCCGCGGUAAAACGUAGGAGGCAAGCGUUAUCCGGAUUCACUGGGCGUAAAGCGCGUGCAGGUGGCGUGGUAAGUUGGAUGUGAAAGCUCCCGGCUCAACUGGGAGAGGUCAUUCAAUACUACCGUGCUUGAGAGCAGAAGAGGAAGAUGGAAUUCCCGGUGUAGUGGUGAAAUGCGUAGAUAUCGGGAGGAACACCAGUGGCGAAGGCGAGUCUUCUGGUCUGUUUCUGACACUCAGACGCGACAGCUAGGGUAGUAAACGGGAUUAGAGACCCCGGUAAUCCCUAGCCGUAAACGAUGUGAACUUGGCGUUGGUGGGUUAAACUCCGAUCAGUGCCGAAGCAAACGCGAA